Molecule: ribosomal RNA, 273 nt
Filed under: uncultured Staphylococcus sp.
Lineage: Bacteria; Bacillati; Bacillota; Bacilli; Caryophanales; Staphylococcaceae
Description: partial 16S ribosomal RNA
Rfam family: Bacterial small subunit ribosomal RNA
Source: RNAcentral
ACGUUAGCGGCGGACGGGUGAGUAACACGUGGGUAACCUACCUAUAAGACUGGGAUAACUUCGGGAAACCGGAGCUAAUACCGGAUAAUAUUUCGAACCGCAUUGUUCGAUAGUGAAAGAUGGUUUUGCUAUCACUUAUAGAUGGACCUGCGCCGUAUUAGCUAGUUGGUAAGGUAACGGCUUACCAAGGCGACGAUACGUAGCCGACCUGAGAGGGUGAUCGGCCACACUGGAACUGAGACACGGUCCAGACUCCUACGGGAGGCAGCAGCC